Molecule: non-coding RNA, 142 nt
Organism: Arachis ipaensis
Lineage: Eukaryota; Viridiplantae; Streptophyta; Magnoliopsida; Fabales; Fabaceae
Source: RefSeq, a predicted model, not a curated record
AACAAGAUUUAAAUCGUAAAAUCGUCAGACUUAGUAUAAAUUUCGUAAAAUCGAUAAACUCAUUUAAAAUCGUAAUAUCGAAAGAUUUUAAGAGUUAAAUCGAGAUUCUAGCUACUAUGGCACUAUGUUGUUUACAAUUUUU